UAUCAAUCGGAUUUACAUGCUCAGCCGCCAAAAACUAUAACGAUAUUAUUACCGUACAAGCCGUUAGCAAGACAUGAUAGGGAGUUGGCAAGUUAAA
RNAcentral lists this small RNA (97 nucleotides) under Plasmodium falciparum 3D7. RNAcentral's name for it is "Pfa-mtR5949". Lineage: Eukaryota; Apicomplexa; Aconoidasida; Haemosporida; Plasmodiidae. The record is from RNAcentral.